Molecule: ribosomal RNA, 491 nt
Filed under: uncultured bacterium
Lineage: Bacteria
Description: partial 16S ribosomal RNA
Rfam family: Bacterial small subunit ribosomal RNA
Source: RNAcentral
AGUGAACGCUGGCGGUAGGCCUAACACAUGCGAGUCGAACGGCAGCACAGUAAGAGCUUGCUCUUACGGGUGGCGAGUGGCGGACGGGUGAGGAAUACAUCGGAAUCUACUUUUUCGUGGGGGAUAACGUAGGGAAACUUACGCUAAUACCGCAUACGACCUACGGGUGAAAGCAGGGGAUCUUCGGACCUUGCGCGAUUGAAUGAGCCGAUGUCGGAUUAGCUAGUUGGCGGGGUAAAGGCCCACCAAGGCGACGAUCCGUAGCUGUCUGAGAGGAUGAUCAGCCACACUGGAACUGAGACACGGUCCAGACUCCUACGGGAGGCAGCAGUGGGGAAUAUUGGACAAUGGGCGCAAGCCUGAUCCAGCCAUACCGCGUGGGUGAAGAAGGCCUUCGGGUUGUAAAGCCCUUUUGUUGGGAAAGAAAAGCAGCAGGUUAAUACCCCGCUGUUCUGACGGUACCCAAAGAAUAAGCACCGGCUAACUUCGUG